This 249-nucleotide long non-coding RNA is filed under the name Capsella rubella. RNAcentral's name for it is "long non-coding RNA (CRUB_LNC000360)". Lineage: Eukaryota; Viridiplantae; Streptophyta; Magnoliopsida; Brassicales; Brassicaceae. The record is from RNAcentral.
AUAAUUCUGGCAAGUGUGCCGGACUAAAUACCGAGCACACGGCCGCAAGCAAACAUCAAAUAUGCCGGACUAAAUACCGAGCAUAUCAACAUCAAGUCUCAAACAACAAAACAAAAAAAAAAACUAAGUCCAAAAGUUCACUCGGCCUAUUCCGCAGUCUCGACAGUAGGAGCAUCGGAUGCAGCUGGAACAUCAUCAGGCGCAGUAACCUCGGCGUCGGGAACCCCGGUACCCUGUUCGGCAACAGAU